RNAcentral lists this ribosomal RNA (393 nucleotides) under uncultured bacterium. RNAcentral describes it as "partial 16S ribosomal RNA". It matches the Rfam family "Bacterial small subunit ribosomal RNA", at positions 523 to 918 of the family's 1533-position model. The record is from RNAcentral.
AUACGGAGGAUGCGAGCGUUAUCCGGAUUUAUUGGGUUUAAAGGGAGCGUAGGUGGGAUAUUAAGUCAGCUGUGAAAGUUUGGGGCUCAACCUUAAAAUUGCAGUUGAUACUGGUUUCCUUGAGUACGGUAUAGGUGGGCGGAAUUCGUGGUGUAGCGGUGAAAUGCUUAGAUAUCACGAAGAACUCCGAUCGCGAAGGCAGCUCACCGGGCCGGAACUGACACUGAUGCUCGAAAGUGCGGGUAUCAAACAGGAUUAGAUACCCUGGUAGUCCACACAGUAAACGAUGAAUACUCGCUGUUUGCGAUAUACAGUAAGCGGCCAAGCGAAAGCGUUAAGUAUUCCACCUGGGGAGUACGCCGGCAACGGUGAAACUUAAAGGAAUUGACGGGG